GCGGCGAGUGAAGCGGCAAAAGCUCAAAUUUGAAAUCUGGCUCUUUCAGAGUCCGAGUUGUAAUUUGAAGAAGGUAUCUUUGGGUCUGGCUCUUGUCUAUGUUUCUUGGAACAGAACGUCACAGAGGGUGAGAAUCCCGUGCGAUGAGAUGAUCCAGGCCUAUGUAAAGUUCCUUCGAAGAGUCGAGUUGUUUGGGAAUGCAGCUCUAAGUGGGUGGUAAAUUCCAUCUAAAGCUAAAUAUUGGCGAGAGACCGAUAGCGAACAAGUACAGUGAUGGAAAGAUGAAAAGAACUUUGAAAAGAGAGUGAAAAAGUACGUGAAAUUGUUGAAAGGGAAGGGCUUGAGAUCAGACUUGGUAUUUUGUAUGUUACUUCUUCGGGGGUGGCCUCUACAGUUUAUCGGGCCAGCAUCAGUUUGGGCGGUAGGAGAAUUGCGUUGGAAUGUGGCACGGCUUCGGUUGUGUGUUAUAGCCUUCGUCGAUACUGCCAGCCUAGACUGAGGACUGCGGUUUAUACCUAGGAUGUUGGCAUAAUGAUCUUAAGUCGCCCGUCUUGAAACACGGACCUCCUGUGUGAAUGAAUCC
RNAcentral lists this ribosomal RNA (583 nucleotides) under Candida tropicalis. Its description in RNAcentral is "eukaryotic LSU rRNA". It matches the Rfam family "Eukaryotic large subunit ribosomal RNA", at positions 86 to 664 of the family's 3401-position model. Lineage: Eukaryota; Fungi; Ascomycota; Pichiomycetes; Serinales; Debaryomycetaceae. The record is from RNAcentral.